CGAUGAACCACUUCGGUGGGGAUUAGUGGCGAACGGGUGAGUAACACGUGGGCAAUCUGCCCUUCACUCUGGGACAAGCCCUGGAAACGGGGUCUAAUACCGGAUAACACUCCCGCACUCAUGUGCGGGGGUUAAAAGCUCCGGCGGUGAAGGAUGAGCCCGCGGCCUAUCAGCUUGUUGGUGAGGUAAUGGCUCACCAAGGCGACGACGGGUAGCCGGCCUGAGAGGGCGACCGGCCACACUGGGACUGAGACACGGCCCAUACUCCUACGGGAGGCAG
RNAcentral lists this ribosomal RNA (280 nucleotides) under bacterium S3A-213-16S. RNAcentral's name for it is "partial 16S ribosomal RNA". It matches the Rfam family "Bacterial small subunit ribosomal RNA", at positions 67 to 351 of the family's 1533-position model. The record is from RNAcentral.